RNAcentral lists this small RNA (156 nucleotides) under Gopherus agassizii (Agassiz's desert tortoise). RNAcentral describes it as "TUC338 (ENSGAGG00000015014.1)". Lineage: Eukaryota; Metazoa; Chordata; Testudines; Testudinidae. The record is from RNAcentral.
UUGACAGUCCUGGAGACUGAAAUCCUGUUUUUAUAGAACAGUUACAGCAAGGGCAGUGGUAGCUUCCCCACACCACCAUGAUCUAUUCUUUUGGAGGGACCACCUCUAGGAUGAAAGGGUAGUUCAGUCUCCAUGCUCAUUCAGUUCUUUGCCUCU